Molecule: ribosomal RNA, 484 nt
Filed under: uncultured bacterium
Lineage: Bacteria
Description: partial 16S ribosomal RNA
Rfam family: Bacterial small subunit ribosomal RNA
Source: RNAcentral
AUUGAACGCUGGCGGCAGGCCUAACGCAUGCAAGUCGAGCGGAUGAAGGGAGCUUGCUCCUGGAUUCAGCGGCGGACGGGUGAGUAAUGCCUAGGAAUCUGCCUGGUAGUGGGGGAUAACGUCCGGAAACGGGCGCUAAUACCGCAUACGUCCUGAGGGAGAAAGUGGGGGAUCUUCGGACCUCACGCUAUCAGAUGAGCCUAGGUCGGAUUAGCUAGUUGGUGGGGUAAAGGCCUACCAAGGCGACGAUCCGUAACUGGUCUGAGAGGAUGAUCAGUCACACUGGAACUGAGACACGGUCAAGACUCCUACGGGAGGCAGCAGUGGGGAAUAUUGGACAAUGGGCGAAAGCCUGAUCCAGCCAUGCCGCGUGUGUGAAGAAGGUCUUCGGAUUGUAAAGCACUUUAAGUUGGGAGGAAGGGCAGUAAGUUAAUACCUUGCUGUUUUGACGUUACCAACAGAAUAAGCACCGGCUAACUUCGUG